AUCCUAACUAGAAUAUUAUGAAGUUCUUAUACUACAAAGUUCUAGUUAGAUGACAUACCUUUUGAUGUAGCUUGAUGUCUUCAAGCUUUAAGAGCUUAGCCCCAAUAGUGUGGAAGCCUCAAGUGGAAUCACAAAUCACCAAAACACCUUGGAAGACUUUAGAGAAUAUGGAUACUUGGUUCUCUCUAGUGAAAUCGGCUAGCCCUUCUUAGUGUACCACACUAGUGCCAAUUUCACCAACCAUGGACAUCUUUAUAUAGUAUGGAAACUAGGGUUAAACCCAUGACCUUUCAUUUCAUAUGAUCCAUGGGUUAAACACUCCAUGGACUAUCCAUGAAAGCUUAGCCCAACCUAAAUGAACUUGGCCCAUUCCAUAUAUAUAAGAGUCCAUAUUUAAUUAGUUCAUUUUGAUCACUUAAUUAAUUCUAAAUUAAUUCUUGAUCAAUACUAAUUAAAUAAUAUGAUUCCAUAUUAAUAUAUUAGAACUUAUAAUAUAUUAAUAUUAAUCAUAAACAUACUAUUCUCAAAAGAUUAUCCAUAUAAAUUGUGUCGGUGAAGUGCAACCCAAAUGGACCAUGCCGGGUCGGGUCAAGUACAUACCAAAUAUAGUUAUGGACUUAGACAUUAAUCCAACAGUCUCCCACUUGGAUAAGUCUAAAACUAUUAUUGCGUAUGACUUCAAACCUAACUGGCAAUCGUAGCUCUUAAAGCCGCUGUCGAACUCUGAUCUUGUCAACGAACUUGUCCAUUAGAUAAGGGAUCAUAUAUUCCUCCAUUCUAGAUAUCAUAUGGACUGAGACAUGGAUUAUAAUCAUUCUCUCUGUCCAUUUGUUGUUUCCCGAUUUCCGAUUUAUGACGACUGACUAAUUGAACAAAUCAAAUCAGUCCUGGCCCGGCCGAGCACUUCCAUUUGUCAUCAUCAAAUCAUCGAGGGGCCCACAGAUAUCGCUUUUAUCCCGAAGGUAAAAGGAAUGGAUAAACUUCGACUCAUAUGGCUUGUUCUACUACUUGUUGAAUCAUACACAAAGGCACGUUUUAUAGCACCGAGUUACCAAAUGCGUUUUCGUGCAAUCAAUGUACAACCAACUCAUAGUAACAACUCAUAUCUCUAGGUUUGAAGAAUAUAAGAUAUUAUCGUCUCAUGAUCACUCGUGAUAAAAUCCAUGAAGUGAUUCCAAUGAGCGCGGGUUGAAUCCAAUACUCAGAACUUAUGAGCACUCAUGAGUGUUGUAGCCCUUUGUCCAACACCUUAGACCUCUACAAGCCAACCCAUGACAGUCUUAAUUCAUAUCUACUUCCAACAUAUGACCGACUGUGGAUGGUUUGAAUAACUUAGUCAUUCCGGAAGAAUAACCUAGUUUAUUCGGGAAGUCAAAACAUGCAAAGUGAAACACAAUAAUAAUUGAAUCCAAUAUGGUAUCAAAACUUAUGAACAUAAAUAAAACACCUUUUAUUUAUCACCAUAUGAUUACACAUUAUUCAUUGUAUACUGUUUCAGCUAUCAACUUUAUUCUUGAAUUUAAAACAAUAGUUGUCCCAUGCUCCAAGCAUGUACACUAUGUUUUCUUAAACACUAGUCAUGCCACACACCAAGUAUGCAUACUAUGUUUGUCUAUGAUCUUUACUUUGUGAACUAGAUCAAUUGAACAUAACUUCAAUGAUUCUCUUUUCACACUCCCAAAUCCUUACUGCAAAUGCAAGAAUUCCAAAUUCAUGCCAUUUACUGAAAUCUGUUAGAUUCUAAACUUAUAUGCAUUGAUCCUCUUGUAAUGAUUAUGCACAAAGUCAGAAAGACUUGACAACAAUCAUUACAGAGUAUUCCAAAGGAGAUCAGCUCCUUGGAAACAUCCUUCUUGCAUUAAGUUUCCUAAUCUUAAACAGAUUGAAAAUUCUAACUUUGAAACAUUUCCAGAUUCCAUUUUGACUAUCACUUCUGAACAAGAGUUGCCUCCUUACAGAUUAUGUCAAUAUGGUCCUUCCAGAAUUAUCACUAUACUUCCAACUGUCCUUGAGCAACCAAUCUUUGGUAAACCUUAGAUUGUCCUCGACAAUUGUUUAAUCCUUUUAGUCAUAUCCAGUUCUAAACCUUUUCCCUUCUUAAUGCCCCAGGCAUUUGGAAAAUUUUAGAACGGAUGAAUAUAGCACAUGUAAUCGAUCCUAUAUCCGAAGCAUAUGGGACACGAUUCAUGAUGUCUCACAUAAAGACUAAACCAGUCUUUUGCUAUAAUAUUUCCAUUUCAAUUUGCCAAGUUCUCAUAAUUCAGAUUAUGAAAAGGGAUGCCGUAAUCAUAAUCGAAUUUUAGAACGCAAAUAAUGGACCCAUAUACAGAAUUUCCUUAUGUUGAGCCAUUCCAACAUGAAAUUCAUAUAUAUCCUUGACUAAAUGAUUAAAACCUCACGAUCUAAGCUUAUAGAUUUGAGAUGAAGCAUAAUUUCCUCUCCCUUAAUUAUAGCAAAACAACUUUUUCCCAAUUGAAACUUUUGUUUUCUAUAAUUAACAUUGCUAACUUGCAAUACUUAUCAUAAUUAUCAUGCUCCCACUAACAUGAUGAUUAUUAGCAUAACACUUAUGCUCCCACUAGCUUUGACAUGUACUCAGAAAUCAGCUGGACUUCUAGAAAUCAAUACUUCAUUGACUUUCUUACCAAAGUUCAGAUUUCUGAUACUAGAUUGUUUUGAUAAAACUUUAUCAAAAUCAUACACCUUCCCUUAGAUAGCACACUUGUGUAUCUAAACAAUUAUGAAGAGGGAUGCCGUAAUCAUAAUGUUUAGACCUUUUUGCCACUUCUCACAAGUCCAAAUUAGUGUGCCGGUUAACCACACGCGCUCCACUAACGACUUUGAGAAUGCAAAUAUCACAAUUGCUAUCUAGCUAAAAUCUACUUAGUGAAAGUGUUUCCUCACCAUCAUUUUCAUGAAUCGGAGAGAAACCUUAUGACACUUAGAUUUAAUGGUGUAUGUGUUCUUAUCCAUGUGAAUUGUCAAAACCAUAGUCACAAGACAAGGAUAAUGACAAAUCCAAACUCAUAUGGACUGAACUCAAUCUUAAUUUCUUGCCACCUGGCAGCUCAAGGGCCUGCCAUUGCUUCCAAGUUGUUGUGCAACAAAUUGAGAACUCUAAGAACUCAUAUGCAAAGCCAACUUUAACUGGAAUGGGCACAGAUAUGUCAACACGAUAGGUUAUAAACCUCAAGUCGUGUGCUAGUGAAGAACUUCAGGUUUUAUUCUUGAUUAGUUCUUGAGACUUUCAAGACCUUUAAGACUCCCACUGUCCUCUUGACAUAUAAGACUCCCUUGUCAAACAUCCAAGAGAUAGUGCGGAUUCUAAUCAAGAAAAACACUUUACCCAAUUGGCCUAAGUUGGUCUUUGUUUUAUCCAAAACAUCACAACUUACCAAUUUCAAAUGUACAAGAGUAGAAAACUUUUACUCUUACAUUUGACAAGUGUUUUAAACCUUCUUUAAGACAUGUCACUCAAAUGACAAUCUUGGAGUAUGACUCUAAGACUUGUAUUGGAACGAAGUAUGACUCAUCUUCUUGAUUUAACCAUUUCAACAAUUCAAGUUCCUCUUCUUAGUCAUAAGAAUGCACUAAGAUUUCCUUAGAGAACUAAUUUUGAUAUGGUUUCUUAAUCAUUAAGAUGAUCACAAAACUGAUACUAAAGUACUCUCCCAUCUUUUCAGAUUUGAGAAACUUUUAUCCUUCUGCCUUAUUUGAUUCUUCUUAUCGAUCUUUAGUGGUGGACUUAACCAGUGCACAAGAAUGUGUACUCGAUCCCUUAGUCCUUUACUUGACUCACACAUCCAUGUGAACAAGUAAUUAGUCUUAAUUUUUCAAUACUUGAAAGUUCUCAUUCAUCAUGCUAUACAACUUGCAUGAUUCCAAGUUCCGGUCCAAUUGAAACUUGGGUGAUGAGAAUCUUUCCUUAUUUGGUAAAUUUAGACAUUACCACAAAUGAAAGAAUCAAAUUCAUAUUUCCAGUAUUGCUAUCAAUGGAAUCAUAUAAGCAACAUCCUUUCCUUUUUCUACAAAUGCCAUUGUAAGGAUAUUUUAAAAUAAAUAAAAUUAAAAAUUUUUCUUUUAUUUUAAAACUUUGCGGAAAAACUAAUCCUUAAAAUGCAAAUGUAUAUGAAAACUUGUUGUCAUCUAUUCCUAAGCAAUCUAUUAUAACUCUUAAGCACAUGCUAAAAAUAUUGAUUACCAAACCAUGCGAUCCAUCUUCGCGAUCAGAAUCAGCAUAUACUUCCUUUAAGUUUCUUUACUUUUCUUUGAUUCUUAAAAUAUUAACAUGUGACCCAGUCACAUCAUGUAAUAAGAAUCUCCAAGCAGGAACUUAAUAGAGUUAGACAAUGGAAUUUACCUGAAAUAAAGUCAAACUUAUUGACUUUACCAUCCUUAGGUAAGUUUGACAGCUUCAUAACCAAAGCCCCUUCCUUUGGCAAUAUAAACAUAUGGAUCCUUUGGUAAUGGUACACGGGACUAUCACAGACUUAGCUUUUCUCUUUACCAUUUGGUCAACCGAGUUGACUAUGGCCGAUCCCUUUCCAUUGGGAAGAGAGUGCUUUACUGGAUAUCCAAUGUCAUCAUUGUCAAUGUCCAUAAAGUUUUAGGAAGUUGAUCUUAGCAAAUAGAUAAGAUCAUUAAGGGUCUUGUCAUAGUCUGUUUCAUAGGUGUCCCAAAGGAACUCACUAUGUGACUUAGAAAGUGAUUGAACCACCAACUUUCUCAAGACUUUGACACCCAACUCUCCCGGCUUGUCAAUAUGUGACUACAUCUCCAAGAUGUGAUCACACCUAGACCUUGCCUUGCCAAUAGGGCCUGAGUGACCUUAAACUUUUCAAGAACUUGUGGGUUAGGGAGAAUAAUUUGAAGAGGUGAAGAAGUAUGAUAUCCAUGGGACAUCAUCUUCAUUAGGAAACCUUGUUUCAAGAGAUUUGGGAAGAUCAUAGGUGUCUAAACCAGACAUCUUUUGGGAGAUAUUCAAGAUAGUUGAUUUAAAGUCCUUAAUAUGACACCCAAUAUGAAAUAUUAAGGCUAGGACCCAACAAACUAUUUUAUAACUUAGAAGAGGUAUGCCGUAAUCCAAGCUAUAAAAUAUUUGAAGGUAGGUGAAUGACGAUUCACCAAUUUCCACCAAGAUAAACGAAAUGUAUUAUUAGGUUUUAAUUGGUUUUGAAACUCCUAGAUCUUUGAGAUUCAUUGAACUUUUCAAAGGCAUGUUUCAAUCUCGAGUGUGCCCUUCAGGUUUUGUGACUGGGAUGCCGAGGAUCACAAAACAAGGUGUGAAGUAACCAUGCAAAUCACUUGGUACCCUUAAUAAAUUACCCCUCAAUCGAUGUGCCGGUUAACCACACACGCUCCAUCGAUACUAUGAUAAAUAUUAAGUCACCCUUUACCUACCUUGUUAAGUCCAAGUUAGUGUGCCGGUUAACCACACACGCUCCACUAACGACUUAAACAAAGUGCAAAGUGUAAUUUCAUGGAUUAGCACCUUAUUCACAUUUUUCCUAAGUAACUAAGAUUGGGUAUUAUUAAGAGUUUAGUUACUUAGUAUUAUCAUUAAUACUUUUAAUGAAGGGAGAAUUCUAGUCCUGUCAAACCCGUUCGGCUAACGACCCUCCACCAGUCAAGCAAGCGGUGGGUGAGAGUGGACACCCAUUAAGUUGCCAUUUUAUAGGCAACAACCUUAUACCCACCUUAUAGACCGGCUUCGUGAAUGAGGCGUACUAGCGGUAAGACUGACUUUACUCUUAUACAUAUAUAUAUUAUUAACUUAUAAUAUUAUAAAGUAUAAGGGUUGAAUUUUAACUUUUAAAAUUCUAAGGGCUAACUUGGAAUUAAAGUAUUCAUAAGUGAAAACUUUUCAAAUUCCAAAACUUGAGGGCAAGUUUUGAAACUAUUCAAAACUAAUUAAUUCCAUAACUUAUGUGUUUAAAGUAGUUUUAAUCCAAAAACUCUUCAAGUUCCAUAACUUGAGGACAAGUUAUGGAAGACUUUAAACUAAUAAAAGAAUUAACUUUUCUUUAUUUUAUAACUUAUGGAAUUAAUUAAGGUUACACUUUUUUUUUUAUUUAUUAUUUAAUGAAGAGACUCUUGGUCCUCCAUAACUUGAGGACAAGUUAUGGAGUCAUAAAACCAUUUAAUUAGAACUAGACUCUUCAUUUUGUAACCUUUGCCAACUUUUAUGAGUUUUAUGAAACUUAAAUGUGACUUUUCAUAUAACUUGAGGACAAGUUACAAAAACACAUUUUAGAAUCAACUCUUAGAUUAAUUUGGAUUGAAAACAACUAUUUCACUCAACUUUUCUAUUAAUCUAAGCAACUCAUAAGAACAAGAUAAUUCAAAUCAAACUUUUUCAUGUAAUUAGUCUAAACCUUAAACUAAUACAAAACAUGAAUCUAUUGACAAUUAUCUUUGAAAUUGGAUUAGCAUGAACAUUACCACAUCAAAAACAAGUUUAUAAGUCCAAAAACAUCUUAGGGUAAUGUUCCUAGUCCAAUUCCAGCCAAAAAAGUCGAAUUUAUGCUGUCUGGGGGUCCAACUCGUCGAGUGCAUGAACCAACUCGGCGAGUUGGAUCGAUUUGAUCACUUUUUAGGCAUGGACUCGCCGAGUCUCCUGAUGGACUCGCCGAGUCUGAUGAUCAGACAGCAACAAUUUCGAUUUUUUAAGCAGUUUUGCAAGUAUAACAAGAAAACAAGCCUAGGAUCUGAUACCACUGUUGGGUUUUGAGCAUUCUAACACUCCUAUGGUGUAAAUGCAACCCUAUAAACCUUGGAUCUAUGUUUUCUCUAUUAUACAUGCAAAUAAGAAGUUUCCAAGGCUUUAAUCCUAACUAGAGUAUUAUGAAGCUCUUAUACUACAAGGUUCUAGUUAGAUGACAUACCUUUUGAUGUAGCUUGAUGUCUUCAAGCUUUAAGAGCUUAGCCCCAAUAGUGUGGAAGCCUCAAGUGGAAUCACAAAUCACCAAAAACACCUUGGAAGACUUUAGAGAAUAUGGAUACUUGGUUCUCUCUAGUGAAAUCGGCUAGCCCUUCUUAGUGUACCACACUAGUGCCAAUUUCACCAACCAAGGACAUCUUUAUAUAGUAUGGAGGAUUAGGGUUAAACCCUAAUACCCAUGACCUUUCAUUUCCUAGGAUCCAUGGGUUAAACACUCCAUGGACUAUCCAUGAAAGCUUAGCCCAACCUAAAUGAACUUGGCCCAUUCCAUAU
Molecule: long non-coding RNA, 7213 nt
Filed under: Lactuca sativa (garden lettuce)
Lineage: Eukaryota; Viridiplantae; Streptophyta; Magnoliopsida; Asterales; Asteraceae
Description: long non-coding RNA (LSAT_LNC006701)
Source: RNAcentral